Molecule: ribosomal RNA, 468 nt
Filed under: uncultured bacterium
Lineage: Bacteria
Description: partial 16S ribosomal RNA
Rfam family: Bacterial small subunit ribosomal RNA
Source: RNAcentral
GACGAACGCUGGCGGCGUGCUUAACACAUGCCAGUCGAACGGAAAGGCCCUGCUUUUGUGGGGUGCUCGAGUGGCGAACGGGUGAGUAACACGUGAGUAACCUGCCCUUGACUUUGGGAUAACUUCAGGAAACUGGGGCUAAUACCGGAUAGGAGCUCCUGCUGCAUGGUGGGGGUUGGAAAGUUUCGGCGGUUGGGGAUGGACUCGCGGCUUAUCAGCUUGUUGGUGGGGUAGUGGCUUACCAAGGCUUUGACGGGUAGCCGGCCUGAGAGGGUGACCGGCCACAUUGGGACUGAGAGACGGCCCAGACUCCUACGGGAGGCAGCAGUGGGGAAUAUUGCACAAUGGGCGGAAGCCUGAUGCAGCAACGCCGCGUGCGGGAUGACGGCCUUCGGGUGGUAAACCGCUUUCGCCUGUGACGAAGCGUGAGUGACGGUAAUGGGUAAAGAAGCACCGGCUAACUACGUG